Polypterus senegalus (gray bichir) is the source of this 184-nucleotide small nuclear RNA. RefSeq annotates it as U2 spliceosomal RNA. The record is from RefSeq and is a predicted model, not a curated record. NCBI's taxonomy places the organism in Eukaryota, Metazoa, Chordata, Cladistia, Polypteriformes, Polypteridae. The transcript has a single exon.
GUCGCUUCUCGGCCUUUUGGCUAAGAUCAAGUGUAGUAUCUGUUCUUAUCAGUUUAAUAUCUGAUACGUCCCCUAUCUGGGGACCAUAUAUUAAAUUGAUUUUUGGAACAGGGAGAUGGAAUAGGGCUUGCUCAAAAAAAAAAAAUGUUGAUGGAAAAUGAAGAUUUACACAAUGUGAUUUUAU